This 5546-nucleotide long non-coding RNA is filed under the name Sus scrofa (pig). Its description in RNAcentral is "lncRNA (ENSSSCG00025033943.1)". Lineage: Eukaryota; Metazoa; Chordata; Mammalia; Artiodactyla; Suidae. The record is from RNAcentral.
CCAAAAAGAAUGAUAAUGUGAUGAAGGCAUCAUUUGUCAAAAGAAAUUCUAUGUUCCCUUUUCCACAGAGAGUAUUUCUCCACAGAUUUAAAACAGGAUUCAUUGAAUUUUAUUGCAUUCAUUUUACUAAAAUAUUUGUAUAUUAUCAAACUUAUUUGCAUAAUAUACUCUCCCCUCAUCUACUUCUCUGUUUAUUCAACAUUCAUUUAUUCCAAGAGCAAUCUUAUGACCAUUCCCCUAAUUUUACAAGCAAGAUUAAAUAAAUGAGACUAACUGCUAAUGAGUAUGGGACUUAGAGUAAUUAACAUUUUCUAAAAUUGAUUGUAGUAAUGGUUGCACAACUCUGAAUAUAAUGAGUCAUUGAAUUGUACAUUUCAAACAGGUGAAUUAUAUGGUAUAUGAAUUUUGUCACAGUAAAGCCAUUAUCUAAAAAAUUAAAUAAGGUAAGGAAAUAUGAAUGUGAAUAUAAAGCUUCUGCAUCAUGUCUCCAAUAAUUGAAUUCUCACCCAGCUGAAAACCAAAAUCAAUUUUGUGGGGCAACUUCCAAGCACAUUUAUAAAAGAAAGAAAAUAAUGUCUUCUAUCAGAACAUUAUCAUAAUAACUAUAACAAGAAUGUACUAAAUUUUUGUUUGAUGCCAGGUGCUGAGCUAAACAUUUAAAAUGAAUUCACUCAUUUAAUCUUAACUCUAAAGUUACUACUAUUUGCUACAGAUUUAGAUGAGAAACCCUAUAUUUAGUAGAAAGUAACAGAGAGUUUCCAGAGCUCAAAUCCCAGAUAUAUCUAAUAUAAUUGUUUUGAAUCUUCACUUCCCAAUAUUAGAGCAUAAUAUCAAGAAGAUUCUAUUGCCGUUGAUUGUGGCCAAAAAGUCUACACAUGCAGAUACAGAGUCAUACAAAGGCCAGAAAAGUAGUAUGUACACAUCAAAAUCAGCCUGCUCUGCUGAAAACCUAGAUCCAGAAAUCCUAAACUCCUAAAUCAAGAAAUCCUAAAUUUUUUGAGUUUACCUGGAAGUAAGGGGUUCUGACACAUCUUCCACUUAGGGCUGUCCUCAUGUUCAACAUCAGUUUAAAACCUCAUUAAUUCUUUGUUUAACCACUAUAAUAAUACUUUAGGUUCCAUGACACUUUGUAGUCAGUAAAGAGAUAUGGUAAUGGUUAAGACAACUUAUGGCCAGUCUUUUGAGAAUUAUCAAUUAUUGGUUCUGUAAGAAAUCCUGAAAUUUUAUUUUUAUAAGUAAGGGUACACUUCCCAGAGAAGCUAAGGCAAUUUUCCAAGGUAAAGCAACUCUUUUAAAAAAAAGAAAAGAAGGGAACAGUCUCAGGUGUCUUGAGCCGGGGUUCAGGAAUCCUUUUACCACAUUAUAUUGGUUAUUACUGGUUAAUAAGUGUUAGUUUCCUUUUAUGCCUACAAUCCCUGUUAAAUAUCCAACACUGACCCAGUAAUCAUUCACGAUGCUGUUUCCAUGGUCUCUGGUAUAGUCUGCUAUCUGAUUGCAAACUCUGGAAAUAAACUUGGCAUUAUUCCAGACUCUACUCCUGCCAAGUCCAAUUUCAUCAGGGAGUAAUAAAAAACAACAAUACAAAUUUUUGCUUUAAUGUUCAAAGAACACUUCUGGAUCAUUGAAUUUUGGAUAGCAUUUCAUCUGUGGGAUGCAAAUUAUUCUAAUUACAACUUUACCUUAUAAAAAAGAACACCUGCGUUUUCAGGGCAACAUCCCCUAAACAAUAUUGAAUUGAAUAAAUUAAAUUAUGCUCGCAUUUAAUAGUAGUUAAGAAAUGAUGAAAAAGAAAGAAUUAUAUUUGCUGCUAGGGAAACCACUGGAUGGUUAGGGAACUUUAUGGAAGGAACACUUUAGAAUUUUAUACUGUACGCAUUUGUACCAUGCGCAUUCAAUUUUUUUAAAAAAAUAAUAGCAUAUAAAUCUUGUACAACAGCUCUUCAGUAUUGACAUUCUAACAAUGAACUAUUUCCUUUAGAAAUGCAAUUAAACAGACAGGAACUGAGAUUUGCACUAAGUAUACGUAAUUUUUCCUGAUAACUAAAUCUUUCAGCUCUUAGAUUCAUCACUGUGUUUAUUUCACUAUUCCUUCUCUAAGUAUAAAUUCUAUAUAAAACAAUGGUGUUUGCCAGGCAUUAGACUAACUCUGUGGUACAGAGAACAUAGUCCCUUAUGGAGUUUUUAUAGUGUUAGAAGGAAUCAUUACUAAAGACAUCUCAUCUUUGCCUCUUCAAACGAAGGGUAAUCUCUGCACAUUCAUAGUCUUUUUCUUUUCUUUUUUUAUGGCUGCAUCUGUGGCAUAUGGAAAUUCCCAGGCAAGGGGUCGAAUUGGAGCCCAGCUGCAGGCUUACACCACAGCCACAGCAAUGCCUAAUCCAAGCCACAUCUGCAACCUACACCACAGCUCAUGGCAACACUAGAUCUGUAACACACUGAGAAUCCCUGAGCAAGGCCACUCUUGCUGAGUGUCCCCGAGCAAGGCCAGCGAUUGAACCCACAUCCUCAUGGAUACUAGUUGGGUUUGUUUCUGCCAAGCUACAAUGGAAACUCCCACAUUCAUAUGGUCUUAAUGACUUUUGAUGGACAUCUAAUAUUGAAAUAAAGCACUAGGGCUGUAUUUUUAACUUUGUGUCUCUUCCUUCUAAACAGAAGACUCUCAAUAUCUAGAGCACUGGAUGUUGUUAGAAGUGUUACCAAACUUCUAAUAUUUUUUAUUCUUACAGUUUUCAGUCUUCCAUGAGAGGUGAAACAAGAGAAGUAAACUUGAGAAAAAUUGUAUAUUCAAUAAGUGAGACUCUGAAAUAUGUCCCUGUAAAGAACCUGGCUACUUACAGGGACUCUGGGAAACUAUGGUGAUUCUAAGAGAACUUUGGGUUCAUAUAUUUGAUCCCCAUAAAUCACAUUACCAAGAGCUAACUUUUUCUCUUUGUGAGAUUAACAGAAGGGAAAAUUGGUAACUGGGCUGCUUUGACUGCCAUAACAAAAUACCAUAGAUUGGGUGGCUUAAACAACAGAAAUGUUAUUUCUCACCAUUUUGGAAGCUGAAAGCCCCAGAUAAAGGUCCAGCAGGUUUAAUUUCUGGUGAUACCUUUUUUCCUGACUUGCAGAUGGUCACCUUCUAGCUGUGUCCUCACAUGGCAGAAAGAAAGAACAAGCCCUCUAGUGUCUCUUCUUAUAAGGGCACUAACCCUAUUGUAUAAUGAAGGUGGGACACAAAUAUUCAGCCCACAGCAGGUAAAUUAAAUAAUCAUAUUUAUAUUUGUCAUAUCAUUUUUAUUUCUAUGUAAUUGAUUUUAUUAAUUAUGAUUUUAAUUAGUUAUAUUACUGAUAUUCUAUAAUGACAUGAAUAGAAAUUCUUCUGAAAUAUCCAUUUUAAUUGAAUUUUUAUUUUUUUAAUUUUAAUUUUUAUUUUUUAUGACCACACUUGUGGCACAUGAAAGUUCCCAGGCCAGAGAUUGAAGCUGAGCCACAGCUGUGACCUAAUGCCACAACUAUGGCAAUGCUGGAUCAUUUUAACUCGCUGCACUGGCCCAGAAUUGAACUCAUGCCUCUGCAGAGACUCAAGUUGCUGCAGUCAGAUUCUUAACCUACUGUGCCACAGUGGGAACUCUGAUGUAGUUAAUUUUUAGACCCAAGGCUUUUGGUUCCCUGUCUCCCUAUGUAUAUAUUUAAUGCUAUAGACAUCUAUAAGUACAGAAAUAACCUUUACUAUUAUCAAAAAAGUGUCUCCCAAGGUCAGAGUAAAAAGCUGUGUUGAGCAUUUUUGUUGUGAGAUUGAUAUUACUGUUUGAUGAGGUGAAUGAAAGAGCAAAAUUCCCUGAUGAAGUUUGUGUCUCAGUACAGUCUCCAAAUAAGAACGAGGCUUGGUUGCUAUGAAGCUUUCCCCUGGGGUUUUCUUUAAAAGGGCUUGUCAUGGUAGCACAGGCAUAUUGACAUCAGUUUGUUGAAAACAGUAAAUUCUAGAGAUGUAGGACUUGAUUUUCAAAGUAGGAGUAAACUCAUCAGUCAUAGUAAACACUUUCAGUCAUAGUGAUAACAAAGUAAAAGCAGUACUUUCAUCUGGUAAAAUUAAAGUUUUGGAAACCAGUGUGGACAUUUUGCAAGUCAAGUAUAGAUUUGACUCGAUGAGGGCACAUGGGUAAUGAUGAAAGUAAUGAGGGGGUAGAAAGAAAGACCAACAUUUAUGGAGUGCCUACUCUCAGCCAGGCAUCAUGCUUUCCAUUACACUGGUUGCAUGUCAAAACCAUCUGGGAGACAUUUAAAUGCAUGCACACAUCUAGGUGUCACUCCCAGAGCCCCCCAGAUUCUCUGUGGGAAGGUCCAAGUAAAUCUCUUUAAAAUCUCUUCAGGGAGUUCCCUGGCAGUCUAGUGGCUAGGACUCAUUGCUUUCGCUGCUGCAGCCAGGGUUCAGUUUCUGAUCUGAGAAUUCAGAACUCACAUCAAACUGCUGCGUGUCAUGGCCAAACAAACAAACAAACAAAAAUUAAAAAAGAAAUAAAAGCUUUUCAGAGCCUCCUCCUCUGUUAUGGCAAGUGUAUCACUAUUUACCCAGGAGACUUUCUCCCCAGAAUUCCUACAGGGAGGCCUCCACUCCUUCUCUUCCCCACUUCUCCUCCUCCAGCCUGGCCACCUUCAUAUAACAAACCCCAGGGAAGAGAUAAGUGGUUAUAGCAGACAUCUGUACCCAGCUCCUGUGACAGCCUUCUGUUGUAUUCUCAAAAGUCUAGAUUUAAAUCAAAACAUAUUUAAAAUUACCUUUUUUCUCUUCUCAUCUCUGCUCUACUGAAUUCCUCCAAGGCCGUGUAGGCACCUCUGUUUACAGAGGGAAUACCAGGAGGUGCAGACAGGAAAGAGCUGCACACAGUUCAAUUCUGCACAAUUCUUCUUCACUACAACAAAUGGUCUGAGUCAGGGUAUGAUUCCAGGUCUAUUGCUGUACUAUGCCUUGCUGCCAAGCACUGCAAGCUGUCUAGGAAAAAAGCAGUUAAAUUAAUAGUGACUUUUGCUCCUUCUUUUCUAAGACAAAAAAGAAAUGAGUCAUUAUUUCACCUACUCAGAAAUAUACCUGAAAUAUUAAGAUAUAUGUUGCAGUAGUCGUAGCAAUAUCUUGAUCUUGAGCUAGGAGGCUCUCACCACAGGUCUCGUUUUCAUCACACAUCUCCAAAUCCUGACCUCCUAUUUUUGGCCCAACUCAGAUUGUAAAAAUCUAACAUCACCCUUUCUUACAGAUCUUUCUCUCCCACUUCUGCCUUUUUGAAGGUUCUCUUAUGCCUCUUACCUGUGGUCAAAGCUCCCUUUUAUCACAGCACAAUUUGUAAAGUGUUAGCUUCCAAGAAUAGAAGAAUCAAGUCAAUCCAAUUAAAAACCUGUAUGUAUCACAAUUCUGAAUCCCUUUUCAAAAUUGACAUCUCCUCAGUAUGUAUGCUUUCUUAAUCUGUGUUCUUUUAAAGUUUUAAAUGCCUGUAGUAUUGUAUUGCCCUCUGUUCUUUUCCCUGGAGCUCCUCUAAAAUAUGUCUGUUACGAUUUUCUGGGAACAAUGAUUCUCA